Molecule: ribosomal RNA, 484 nt
Filed under: uncultured bacterium
Lineage: Bacteria
Description: partial 16S ribosomal RNA
Rfam family: Bacterial small subunit ribosomal RNA
Source: RNAcentral
AUUGAACGCUGGCGGCAGGCCUAACACAUGCAAGUCGAGCGGAUGAAGGGAGCUUGCUCCUGGCUUCAGCGGCGGACGGGUGAGUAAUGCCUAGGAAUCUGCCUGGCAGUGGGGGAUAACGUCCGGACACGGGCGCUAAUACCGCAUACGUCCUGAGGGAGAAAGUGGGGGAUCUUCGGACCUCACGCUAUCAGAUGAGCCUAGGUCGGAUUAGCUAGUUGGUGGGGUAAAGGCCUACCAAGGCGACGAUCCGUAACUGGUCUGAGAGGAUGAUCAGUCACACUGGAACUGAGACACGGUCCAGACUCCUACGGGAGGCAGCAGUGGGGAAUAUUGGACAAUGGGCGAAAGCCUGAUCCAGCCAUGCCGCGUGUGUGAAGAAGGUCUUCGGAUUGUAAAGCACUUUAAGUUGGGAGGAAGAGCAGUAAGGUAAUAACUUGCUGUUUUGACGUUACCAACAGAAUAAGCACCGGCUAACUUCGUG